This 402-nucleotide ribosomal RNA is filed under the name uncultured Rothia sp. RNAcentral's name for it is "bacterial SSU rRNA". It matches the Rfam family "Bacterial small subunit ribosomal RNA", at positions 338 to 753 of the family's 1533-position model. The record is from RNAcentral. Lineage: Bacteria; Bacillati; Actinomycetota; Actinomycetes; Micrococcales; Micrococcaceae.
CCUACGGGGGGCUGCAGUGGGGAAUAUUGCACAAUGGGCGCAAGCCUGAUGCAGCGACGCCGCGUGAGGGAUGACGGCCUUCGGGUUGUAAACCUCUGUUAGCAGGGAAGAAGAGAGAUUGACGGUACCUGCAGAGAAAGCGCCGGCUAACUACGUGCCAGCAGCCGCGGUAAUACGUAGGUCCCGAGCGUUGUCCGGAUUUAUUGGGCGUAAAGCGAGCGCAGGCGGUUAGAUAAGUCUGAAGUUAAAGGCUGUGGCUUAACCAUAGUACGCUUUGGAAACUGUUUAACUUGAGUGCAAGAGGGGAGAGUGGAAUUCCAUGUGUAGCGGUGAAAUGCGUAGAGAUGUGGAGGAAUACCGAUGGCGAAGGCAGCCUCCUGGGAUAACACUGACGUUCAUGCU